AUGAACUCCAAAUCCUACUGGGACCAAAAAUCCAUGGAUUCCUCUUGCUUUCAACCAAAAUGCUCCAGCUUCUUCCUGUUAUUCACAAUACUGAUUUCUCUGCUGCCCAGAUCUUCUUGCCUACAGUUACCGAAAAAGGGUUUCCCCCCGCUUUGUAUUACAAAGCAAUCUUGCCUACAGUUCACAAACCAAUCUGGUGAUGAACACCAAAUCCUCCUGGGACUCGAGAGAUAUUGGGGGAGCUCACCUGUGCUUGGAAGAUGGAGCCUCACUUCUUCUAACCACUGUAAAUGGGGAGGAAUUACAUGCACAGAUGGUUUGGUCACUGCCAUUUCCCUUCCACAGCAAACCUUUAGGAAACCAAUCCCACCGUCCCUUUGCCUCCUCAAGAAUCUUACCAACUUGGACCUCUCCUACAAUAACUUCUCCACUUCAUUCCCUACCAUACUCUACAAUUGCUCCAAUCUGAAGUACCUAGACCUUUCCAACAAUGUCUUUGGUGGGAAACUCGCAGCUGACAUAAACUGUUUAUCAGCAAAGCUCGAGCAUCUCAACUUAUCAAGCAAUCGUAUCAUGGGGGAAAUUCCACCAUCGAUUGGAUGGUUUCCAAAGCUCAAGUCACUGCUCCUCGACACGAAUCAGUUUGACGGAAGUUAUCCAGCAAAGGACAUCAGCAAUCUAGCCAACCUCGAGGUGCUGACACUAGCGGGAAAUCCAUUUCUGCCAGCUCCAUUUCCAGUUGAGUUUGGCAAGUUGACACGCCUCACAUACUUGUGGCUGUCAGGUAUGAACAUGACAGGUGAGAUCCCUGAGCUCAGUCUCUUGAGUGUAUCAAAUAAUAUGCUGCAAGGCACAAUUCCUACAUGGGUAUGGCAGCAUAAGAAGCUUCGGCGCUUGUACAUGUAUACCAACCAUUUCACAGGCGAGAUUUCAUCCUGUGUCAGCGCCGUAAACUUGGUGGAGCUUGAUGUAUCCUCAAACAAUCUAACAGGGACAAUACCAGAUGACUUUGGUAGGCUCAUCAACCUUACCUUGUUGUUUCUCUACACAAAUCAACUUCAUGGGUCAAUAUCGCCAAGCAUCGGGUUGCUGCCGAAUCUCAGAGACAUCCGGCUAUUUGAGAACAUGUUAUCUGGUUCCCUUCCACCAGAGCUUGGUAAGCACUCACCACUAGGUAAUCUUGAGGUCUGCAACAAUAACCUCUCGGGCGAGUUGCCAGCUGAUCUUUGCUCCAACAGGAAGUUAUAUGACAUCGUUGUGUUCAAUAAUAACUUUUCUGGAAAGCUUCCACAAUCGUUAGACGGCUGCUACCGGUUGAACAAUUUAAUGCUGUACAACAAUCAUUUUACUGGAGAGUUCCCCAAGAGCCUCUGGUCAGUGGUGACAAAUGAGCUAACGGUGGUUAUGAUCCAAAAUAACAAUUUCUCUGGCACAUUUCCUACCCAGCUACCAUGGAACUUCACGCGCCUUGACAUAAGUAACAAUAGAUUCUCUGGUCCCAUUCCAACUUUAGCAGGCAAAAUGAAAGUAUUCAGGGCAGCAAACAACUCUCUUUGUGGCGAAAUUCCCUGGGAUUUGAUGGGUAUUUCACAGGUAGGUGAACUUGACCUUUCUGGAAAUCAAAUUAAUGGAUCAAUACCCAUGACAAUUGGAGUGCUAAAGCUCAACGCACUUAAUCUAAGUGGAAAUCAGAUAUCUGGUACUAUACCUGCAGCGUUUGGAUUUAUGUCAGGGUUAACCAUCCUUGACCUCUCCUCAAAUGAGCUAUCUGGCGAGAUCCCAAGAGCGAUCAAUAAGUUGAAACUGAACUUUCUAAACCUCUCCAUGAAUCAACUCACGGGGGAAAUACCAACAUCAUUGCAAAACGAAGCAUAUGAGCGAAGCUUCCUCUUCAAUCCAGGCCUCUGUGUCUCAUCGAAUAAUUCCAUCCCUAAUUUCCCAAUUUGCAGUGCAAGAGCAAACAACAACAAUGAUACCUCCAGGAGGCUUAUAGCCCUCUUUUUUGUUCUUGCCAGUAUCAUGCUUGUGGGUUUGAUAGUUGGUGGUUUCUUGCUACUAAAGAGGCAAAAGAAUACCCAAGAUCCUCUAUCAUGGAAGCUGACCCAGUUUCAUGCACUGCAUUUCACAGAAUAUGAUGUUCUUUCUGGGCUCUGUGAGCAGAACUGGAUUGGAAGUGGCAGGUCUGGCAAGGUGUGCCGAAUUUGUGUUGUGGAUGGAGAAGGUGGUAGUAGAAUGGUGGCUGUUAAAAAGAUAUGGAACGCCCAGAACCUUGGUAACAAGCUCGAGAAGGACUUCCUUGCAGAGGUCCAGAUAUUGGGUGAGAUCUGGCACACAAACAUUGUCAAGCUGCUCUGCUGCAUCUCAAGCUCAGAGGCAAAGCUUCUUGUCUAUGAGUACAUGGAAAAUGGUAGCUUAGACAGGUGGCUGCAUCAGAGGGAUAGAGUUGGUUCACUGGCACCUUUGGAUUGGCCCACCAGAUUGCAAAUUGCCAUCGACUCAGCAAGAGGUCUCUGCUAUAUGCACCAUGAUAGUUCACCCGCCAUAGUGCACUGUGAUGUCAAGUCUGCCAAUAUCCUUCUGGACCCCGAGUUCAGAGCAAAGAUAGCUGACUUCGGCCUUCCUCGGAUUCUUCUCAAAACCGGAGAUCCUGAGUCAAUUUCUGGCAUAGGUGGUACCUUUGGCUACAUGGCACCAGAGUACGGAUACCGGCUUAAGGUGAAUGGGAAGGUCGAUGUCUACAGCUUCGGAGUGGUCCUGUUGGAGCUCACAACGGGGAGGGUGGCAAAUGAUGGAGGCUUGGAGUACUGCUUGGCAGAAUGGGCAUGGAGACAGUAUCAAGAGUAUGGCCUGUCAAUUGAUCUUCUUGAUGAAGACAUUCGAGAUCCAGCCAACAUUGAAGAUGCAUUCGCAGUGUUUACGCUAGGUGUGAUCUGUACAGGUGGGCAGCCUUCAGUGCGGCCAUCAAUGAAGGAUGUGCUGUACGCUCUUCUCCGGUUUGAACAUAAAUCCAGGGAAAGAAGCCCGCAGCAUGUUGUCUCUGAAGAAACGUCACUUCUAGAAUCCUAG
Molecule: ribosomal RNA, 3066 nt
Filed under: Triticum aestivum (bread wheat)
Lineage: Eukaryota; Viridiplantae; Streptophyta; Magnoliopsida; Poales; Poaceae
Description: partial small subunit ribosomal RNA
Source: RNAcentral